This is a long non-coding RNA of Eurytemora carolleeae, 544 nucleotides long. RefSeq lists it as uncharacterized. NCBI's taxonomy places the organism in Eukaryota, Metazoa, Arthropoda, Copepoda, Calanoida, Temoridae. The record is from RefSeq and is a predicted model, not a curated record. The transcript is spliced from 5 exons.
UUACUCUCUAAAAUGAUUUUAAAAUUCCUAAUUUGUGUUUUAUUUCAGAAUCUGUUUGAACAGAGGAGAUGUGUUUCUUUAAUUUUCAUAAAAUUCCAAAAAUUUUCAGAAUGAUAAGCACAGAGUUAAUAAGCUUGUUUGAUUAUUAAAGGGCGAGUGCCCGUGACUUCUGUAGUUGAUGCCUUGCAAUCUUAUCUCCUCUUGCUUCUUCUUAGAGUCUCCGUGGUCCAGGGACCAGGAUUGUACACUCGAGUUAGCGCCAACUAAUAAUCAAGGGAACAUCGAGGUAGGGAUAGCAGUGCAACCUGGUCAUCCAGCCCAUCCCUUUCAUCCUUCAUAUCCCAGGUCCGUAUACAUCCAUCCCAUCCCCUGCAUCCUUCAUAUCCCAGGUCCGUAUACAUCCAUCCCAUCAGCUUCAUGCUUCACAUCCCAGGUCCGUAUACAUCCAUCCCAUCCCCCUUCAUCCUUCACAUCCCAGGUCCCCCUAUAGCCAGCCCAUCCCUUUCAUACUUCACAUCCCAGGUCCGUAUACAUCCAUCCCAUC